CACCACUGCAAGAGGGGAAGUUGCUACUGUGAUGAAUUCUGCCAUGUGGUACCAGACUGCUACCCAGACCACAGUGUCCUCUGCAACCCUCGUCAAAGGUGCCUACAUGUUCCUUCUAGCUUUGUUUCCCUGAUGUUCCUUGCCACCUGCUACUCCUCUCUGAGCUACUUUUCCAGGUUCCACAGGGAGAGGUUCAGCUGUCCGUGGUAGACAUGAGGGUAGAGAAUGAGGUGGUUGGGUUCCACUUACCUUUCUAUCAUCUUGCAGUAUGGAUGUCUCUUGACUGGUACCAUGUAGACUUUUGAGGGCACACAGGAGUCUGCAGAGAGAUACUGGGGACAUUGAGUAGCAGCGGUGGGGUUGGGAGGCAGAAAUGAGGACAGGAACAUUUACCUUGUGUUUCUCUCAGCUUCUCAGAUGACCAAGAUGGUGCUGCAGAUGGUGCUGAGGAUGGAGAACCCACCAAGCCCCGCUAGGAGCCACCUAGACUGGAUGUAGAGCAUGGUUCAGCGAGUUCUCCAAACCAGCCUCCCAGGAAUGCCGGUCUCCAUGGCUGUGAGGGGAAUCAAGAAGAGAGCCUGACUCCUCUCCUGAGGCCCCUUCCCCACCCUGAGCCAGCAGGAUCCACGGAGCAGAGGUCAUCUGUCCCCAGCUUGGCCCGCUGAGGCCAGCAUGGCUGGGCCCAUGAUGCUUGUCUCUCAGCUCCCAUCCUGUGUACUUCCACAUUGGUUU
RNAcentral lists this long non-coding RNA (732 nucleotides) under Pan troglodytes (chimpanzee). Its description in RNAcentral is "lincRNA". The record is from RNAcentral. Lineage: Eukaryota; Metazoa; Chordata; Mammalia; Primates; Hominidae.